Molecule: ribosomal RNA, 496 nt
Filed under: uncultured bacterium
Lineage: Bacteria
Description: partial 16S ribosomal RNA
Rfam family: Bacterial small subunit ribosomal RNA
Source: RNAcentral
AUGAACGCUGGCGGCGUGCCUAAUCCCUGCCAGUCGAGCGAACGGACGAGAAGCUUGCUUUUCUGAUGUUAGCGGCGGACGGGUGAGUAACACGUGGAUAACCUACCUAUAAGACUGGGAUAACUUCGGGAAACCGGAGCUAAUACCGGAUAAUAUUUUGAACCGCAUGGUUCAAAAGUGAAAGACGGUCUUGCUGUCACUUAUAGAUGGAUCCGCGCUGCAUUAGCUAGUUGGUAAGGUAACGGCUUACCAAGGCAACGAUGCAUAGCCGACCUGAGAGGGUGAUCGGCCACACUGGAACUGAGACACGGUCCAGACUCCUACGGGAGGCAGCAGUAGGGAAUCUUCCGCAAUGGGCGAAAGCCUGACGGAGUAACGCCGCGUGAGUGAUGAAGGUCUUCGGAUCGUAAAACUCUGUUAUUAGGGAAGAACAUAUGUGUAAGUAACUGUGCACAUCUUGACGGUACCUAAUCAGAAAGCCACGGCUAACUACGUG